RNAcentral lists this non-coding RNA (21 nucleotides) under Caenorhabditis elegans. Lineage: Eukaryota; Metazoa; Nematoda; Chromadorea; Rhabditida; Rhabditidae. The record is from RNAcentral.
UGAGAGCUGAUCGAUUUGAAU